CAGUAGCCACGGUAAUACGUAGGUGGCAAGCGUUGUCCGGAAUUAUUGGGCGUAAAGCGCGCGCAGGUGGUUUAAUAAGUCUGAUGUGAAAGCCCACGGCUCAACCGUGGAGGGUCAUUGGAAACUGUUAAACUUGAGUGCAGGAGAGAAAAGUGGAAUUCCUAGUGUAGCGGUGAAAUGCGUAGAGAUUAGGAGGAACACCAGUGGCGAAGGCGGCUUUUUGGCCUGUAACUGACACUGAGGCGCGAAAGCGUGGGGAGCAAACAGGAUUAGAUACCCCAGUAGUCCCUGUCUCUUAUAU
RNAcentral lists this ribosomal RNA (301 nucleotides) under uncultured bacterium. Its description in RNAcentral is "partial 16S ribosomal RNA". It matches the Rfam family "Bacterial small subunit ribosomal RNA", at positions 509 to 809 of the family's 1533-position model. The record is from RNAcentral.